CAGUGUGUCUAUCUCUAAAACUAGAUUUCAUCAUCAGUUAAGGAAAGACUGAGAGCACAAAUAUCUUACUACUCCAGUUUCUAUAGCAAAUGACUUGGCACUCAGAGAGAAGAAAGGGAGGGAGGAGAUAGGGAAGAGACACCAAAGAAUUACCUCAUAUACACACAUACAUUGUACACACACACACAGCAUGCACAUACAUACAUUUUUCCCUCUUAUAAUCAUAAUGUCAAAAAAUUGUCCAAAUUCCUUAUUUUGUUCAAAUAUAAUGUGCCUAAUAUUUUUUUAAAAUGAAUGUGCCAUUGGAUGGUUUUAUAAAAAGUGUAUCAAGGAGUUCCCUUGUGGCACAGUGGGUUAAGGAUCCAGUAUUGUCACUGCAGCAGUUCGGGUUGCUGCUGUGGUAUGUGUUCAAUCCCUGGCCCAGAAACUUCCACAGGUGUGGCCAAAAAAAAGUAUGUCAAAAUAGAGAUAUUGCUUUGUUACAUACUUUGUGUAAACACAUUUUUUUCAUUCAAUAUAAAAAUUAUUGAUCACCUACUGUGGGAUAAACUAUUUGCUAGGUCCUGCACAUGUGAAGAUGGAUAAAAUAGAUUUUUGCUUUCCUACAGAUUACAGAUUAAUGAAGUAGAAUGACUAGUAGGUAUUUGAAUUGUAAUAUAACAAGGCAAACAUGUGACUCCGUAAAGUUAUAAAUUAGCACAUGAAUCCUAGGGAUAAGGUAACUAACUGAAUGGUUAUCCUAACACCAGUCCUUUGUUCUUUUACCCAAAACAGGAUGUAUUCAUUUAAAAACUUUUAAGAAAUUAAUAUUAAUUUUGUUAUCUCACAUCGAAGCCUUUGAAGACCACUCAGGAGUACUCUUCCUGCCUUCCUUGUAUAGGUGCCCAUAUUUUCUUUUCUAACUCAACCCUUCAACUUUUGCCUAUAUCAUUUCUCUUCUCCCAACGAAAGAUGGUAAGAGCUUAGUCAAAGGUGAAGGGAGGAGUGAAGGCAUGAUAAAAUUAUUGGGGUACAAGCAAAUACAUCAGGGAUUACUCUUUAGAUAUAAUGACAGAAACUUAACUCAAACUUGAUUAGGAAAGAAAGGUGAUUAUUGUCCUUCACAACCAAAACUGUUUCGGUGAGGAAUAUGCUACUGAUGGGGGAUUACUGCAGCUUGGGGAUAGUCUCACCAUCUCACAGGUGUACUAUCCCCAUGUCCAUUUCAUUCUUUCACAUUUCCUCCACAUCGUUAAAACAAUGGCUACAGCUAGUUUCCAGGCCAUUAAGAUACAGCAAGAGGUCCGUCUAUUUGUUUUCACUUGAGAAACUCUUUAGAAAGAUUUUGAUUUGGCAUAUAAGACCAGGAACAAUGAAAGGUGAUCAGAAGAGUAGAGGCCAAGAUGAUGGUGGGUCUUGUUCAACCAUACAAUGAACAGUGGUUGGAGUGGAAGAAAGAGAAAACAUUUGCAAAGAAGAGGAAUGAGUGGUAGGCCCAACUGAAGCAGCCAUACACGCAUGCUGGUUUUUAAUGAAUGUCUACUGCAUUUCUAUAAUGUGCCCAGCCCUGCACUGGUGCCAACGUCUUGUAGGGGAAAAUAGCAUUUAGUCAAAUAAUCUACAAAUAAGCCUUCUUAAAGGAGGACAGGGGCGGUUGCCCUGUUCCAGCUGAGUUCCACUCUCAUGCAUCUUUCUGAACCUGACCAUAGUCAGCUCUAUCAGCCUGGGAUCAGAUGGGAAAACAAAGCUAUUGUAACUAUCUCUAAAUUUCACUUAGAAGUUAAGAUUUACAGGUUGUUGGAAGAGCUGGGGAGGGAAGAUCAGAGCACUGGCACAUGGAAAAUCAAGAGCACUAAAUCUGGAAAGUUAGGGAGGUUUGUGAAGACUUCUGCCAUUUGUAGCAAUAAUGUGCAUAGUUCUCAUGCACUUGCUGCAAAGCUGCUGUGACCCUCAUGCCUGCCUACAAAUUUGGCUGCCACCACAUCCAGAGAAUAAUGGCUUAACUUCUCUUCUGCAGUCCAAACCUCAUGUAACUUCUUUUCAAAGGGAAAUUCUACCCAGAAUGAAACAGGGAAGAGGACCCUGGGGAAUGUAAUUUUCAAGAUCUUAGAAGGGUGGGGUUACGGUGCUAAGUUGGCAGCAGACAAUCCAUCUCAGCAUCUUUAUCUUGUUUCAGACGUUAGCAUGUUGAGCAAUAUUUAUUGAUGAUCCGCUUGUGCCAGUCACUCUGCUCAGCCUUUCAUAUAUAUUUCCUCAGUGAAGCCAUCUAAAGCCCCCAAUAGUGGUGUGGGAUGGGCGGAAUAGGAGGGAAGGAGAGUUGAAAACUAAAGCCAAGAGAGGAUGCUGGCCACUGGUUCUACAGCUGAAGUAACAGUGGAGCUACAGUUCAAAUCCUAAUCUCUGAUAAGAGAACCCAAUUUUUGAACUGCACACCAUAUUGUCCCUGUGACCUAUUCUUCUUUGAUAACUGUUGGUUUUGGCUAACAAAGCCAAGCUACUUUAUUUUCCCAUAUGGUUUCACUGCAGAUGGCACUUUUAACUUCAAUGACUCUUGUAAAAGGGCCAUUUGGGGAGACAUGUUUAGGGGAUGCAUAAGGCUUAAAGUCUAAAAGAUAGAUGCAUUCCACCCCAAAAUAUCAUCAAUUUUGAGAGAAGCUAAAUAGACUGCAUGCACCACAGACAGAUGAGAUUCCUUCCCCAAAAUUAUUCAAGGUAAAAAUAAAACAAUAUUUGGAAAUGGUUUAUUGACAGGAUUAAUCCUUUUUAUAAUGCAGGAUGGUGACUCUGCUGGGCAAUUUUAAGAAAAAUCUAUGCCCUUGUGAAUUGUGACAUAGUAUGAAAGUAUGUUGAAAUGAAGAUAGGUGCUAUUGCAAUGAAAGUGAAAGGAAGUUAUAGCGAAAUAUGAGACAGGGAGAAAUUGCCAGGGAAAAAAUGUACUAGAAAUUAUCAGAACAAUUUUAGAAAGGAAGAGAGAGAGAGAGGGAGAGAGAGAGAAUGUGAAAGAGCUUGAUUGUGUAUAAAAUAUUAAAUUAACAUAUUCUGGUCCUCAGAAAGAAACAAUCUGUAGAGUGACAGUGUUCAAAGGGCUUAAUGAAGAAGCUUUCAAUCCCAGUCCAGUCCUUCUGUAGGAUCUCACACUACCCCAAAAUCUCUGCUUGUUAAUUUCAUGUUUAUGAAUUUUGAUAUUGGGAGUGGGCUAUCAUGUAUAGUAGAAAUGAUCUUUUUGAUUACUGCACAGAUGCGUUCUAAAAUAAAUACAUAUAUCUGCUUUAUAAAUGCAUUUCUGAUACAUAUAUAUUCAAACUCACAAAUUUCCAAAGGCCUCCCUGUAGAGAUGGAAUAUUGAAAUAUUGGACACAGAAAGCUGCAAGCCAAAUACUAGGUCACUAUGAUGACUCCAUCAAGACUUGGAAACCCUGUGGGUGUCAUCAUGAUAUGGCCAAUAGCCAUACCUUCUUGUGUCCACAGAGAAGAAUGCAGAUGUAUUUCAGUCCAUGUGACGAUGAAAAAACUGUGUCAAAUGUGUGCCACUGGAAGUUAGUGUGUUGUAAUUCUGAUUUCUUAGCUUGUCUUGGGGGGAAUGAUACAAAGCUGUCCCCUUUGGCAUCUGUGAGCAUUUAAACACUUGAUUUUAAGCAAAACUAUCUUCCAGGUAAAAAUAACAUAGUUUUAAUUAAUAAUAAAUCUUCAGUUUUAGGGGAUGGAUUCAAAAAAUGAAAUGCUUUUUAAAAAAUUCAUGAGGCACAAGUAACAAAUUGUCUAUGAUGAAAUGAGAUUUUUUAACCCUUUUGACUCAUAUUUUUGUAUACUAACAGUAACCAUUAUCAAAUGUGAGGUAAUUAAACAUAGUAAUUUGCUAAUUCCAGAGGCUUUUCAUUUUAAAUUUUGAGAAGAAAUAAGAGUGAUGUCACUUGUGAGAAGCAAAUAGGCUACCUGCAAUGGUUUACAGUCACUCAACUGAGCUACUCAUUUUUCAAUGGAUAUGAUGUCUAUCUAUUCCUAGAUAUUUCUCCAAAGUCUUUAGGCUUCUUCCUAUUUAACAGGUUAAAGCUGCAUCCAUCAUGCCAACCUGCCAUCAUUCUAUCAUCCUUCACCACUGAAAUUCAAAAGAAAAGCUCUUGCUGAGAUGGCUUAGAAGGAAACACAAAAUUUUAAGGUUCUAUAGUAAAUGAGAUCCAUGGCCAGCAGUCAGGCAGCAUGCAUUUCUUAUGAAAAUGGAUGCAUCCUCAUGGGUUCUGCUAUUCUCUCUUAGAGUGGCUGCUACACUGUAGCUGUGAAAACACAAAAUAGGAAUAAGAAGGAGCCAUGUGACAUGGGGAUUUGGUUAAGUCACUUUUAAUUUCUGGAAGUCUGUGUGAAAAAUAAUGCUGAAAUCAAAAUCCAAAAGUAUGGGGUGGAGUGAACCCAAUCUCUGAAUGUUUGGCUGUACAAACUCAAAAACCCCAAGCCUUCUCGCCAAGUGCAGUGUGAUUGGCAGCUCACAGAGAUGUCUCAGAUGGAAAUAGCAGGCAUGUGGAUCAGGCCUGAGGUGAGUAGAACAGAAAUGUGUAUAUCCCUGGAGAAAGAAUGUGGAGAGAGGGAAAUGAUAUUCUGGCAUUCAAGGAAGUUUCUGGAUUCAGCAUAUCAUAUCGAAUAAAAGAUAAUGUGCACUUGGCAAGAGAAAUAAGACUUAAUGACUCAUUAGGUGAGAUAAAUCUGAUUGCUCUUGAAAGAGAUUCUGUCUCAGGUUGCAGAGUUGAGCAAUUAUGUAUGUCAAGAAGCAACUUAUUUAAUUAUAAAUCAGAAUGAGGACAAACCUGAAUAGUAGCAAAAGGGGAAACAAGAAAUAAUGAUUAAAUGGUUUCAGAAUAGCAUAAUAGUACUUAGGCAACAGUGAUAAAUUCCUAAAGUGUGAACACAGUUUAUAGACUCAUGAUAUAUGGCCCUGCUGGGUUAGUGUCUCUCUUUCUUUUUCUUUUUUUUUUUUCCCCUGGCUACACACAUGGCAUGCAGGAGUAUCUGGACCAGGGAUCGAAAUCCAGCCACAGGAGUAACCUGAGCCACAGCAGUGACAGUGCUGAAUCCUUAAGUGCUAGUCCACCAGAGAACUCC
RNAcentral lists this long non-coding RNA (5070 nucleotides) under Sus scrofa (pig). Its description in RNAcentral is "lncRNA (ENSSSCG00000056721.1, ENSSSCG00130003631.1)". Lineage: Eukaryota; Metazoa; Chordata; Mammalia; Artiodactyla; Suidae. The record is from RNAcentral.